Long non-coding RNA from Beta vulgaris subsp. vulgaris (sugar beet), 3210 nucleotides. RefSeq lists it as uncharacterized. The record is from RefSeq and is a predicted model, not a curated record. The transcript is spliced from 3 exons. NCBI's taxonomy places the organism in Eukaryota, Viridiplantae, Streptophyta, Magnoliopsida, Caryophyllales, Amaranthaceae.
UUAUUUUUAUUAAGUGGUUAUUUUUAUUUAUAUCCUUCUAAAGAAAAUAUGAAUUCCUAAAAUAUAUAUUAGCGGGUAUGUAUUUGGCCAAAUUAAAAAAUAAAAUCAGUAUACUCUUCCAACCGUCUUUGUCGGUUUAAUGUGAAUGAAACAAAACCACCCCACCUCAAUAAUCUCUGUCUGCCUCGUCAGUUCUCAAAUCCCAAAAGGAAAAACCCUCAAACCCCAUUUUUCUCGCACCUGCCCGUCUCUUUCUUUCGCUCCCGUCGCCGGUAAUUGUCAAAGCUCGCCGGAGCUCUAUUGUUGGUCGUUCGUGCCGACUCAUCUCUCUCCUCUGUUCGUAUUCUGCCACCGCAGUGCUGCUCGCGAGCCACCGCGGUGCUGUUGCUAUUGCCCAUGUGUUUCUCUCUCCUCCUGCACACUAUAACCACCGGAGUCGCGCCGUGUUGCUCGCCGGUGACUGAGCACCUCUCUCUCCAUCGCGCGCUGUGGUUGCGGCGAUGCUGCUUGUUGAUGUUGCGGUUGUUGCUGUGGUUGAUGUAAUGUUGCCGUCGUCGAUAUUGUCUGCCCUACCGUCGUCGCAGCCUCGAUUUGCUGUUAAUUUGAAUUCAGUUUUAUUGAUUUAGUUUUUAGUUUUUAGAGAUUUAGUUAAGUUUGUCAUUCAAUUUGUGAGUUAAUUGCUGUUUUUUAUGCUUGAUUUGAGCUUGGAGGUUUCUCGCUAAACGCCUGCUUGCUGCUUGCUUAGAUAAUUGCUUAAUUUGUGUGUUAAUUGUUGUUAAUACUGCUUAGUUGCUGCCUUGCAAUACUGGUAAUGGUAAUGUGUAUUAUAAUCUUGAAAACAUUCAACAUAUGACUUGAUUUCUUGUUGAUUAAUUUGUACAAAGAUUGUGAGAAACUAAAUAUCAAUUAACACUUAGAACUCAAUAUGAGCAAUGUUUCUAAAACACCUUAUGGACACAUUACGUGUCCUGUAGCUGUAAAAGCAUAUAUCAAGAUUCAUACUACUAUAAAUAUAAUCCUAGACUUGCAUUCCAUCGUUGGCUGAGUAAAAAUAUUCAUCGCACAAAUAAUUAAUACGUGAAACAUCGCAUAAUUCAAAACAUAGGAUCCAUUUUUAACAUAUAAUUAAACAUACUUAUGCAGUUAUGCUUGAAAGUUGAAAAUUGGAGUAAAUCAUAUGCAAGAAAAUGCAUGCCAGCAAAGCUAUGAAAUCAAUUUUAUGUGGUUGAUCUUCUAAGUCAAGACUUCAAAUCAAAUAAUGAUGAAAUAAGAAAAAUCUCAAAUGGCAGUAAGCAAAAAUAAAAUUUUCUGCAUGUUAAAAGAAUUUUAUACCUCUUUGACAAAGAGAAUCACAAAGGAGAAGAUCACUUUUUAACUUUUCAAGCUUUUAGGGUAUCUCUUUUCAGAGUUUACUAUAUCAAAGUACAAAAUCUGAAUUCUCUCUCUAACAUUCAGUAAAAACUGAUUCGACUAUAUAUGAUAUUGAGUGUUUUUAUGAAUAUUAGCACUAAUUGUACUGUCGUAGCUCUCUAAUCAUAUGUUAAUGGAAUUUUUGGUUUUAUUCGCAAUAUUGCUUUAGCUUAAAGGCACUACCAAUAUUUUUUUUCCAUUUCUCAUGCAUUUUGCUUUUAGAUAUGGUGAAAAUGUAAAUGUCUCAUGCAUAUUGGUAGGUUCUAACUUCUACUCUCAUUACCUUAGAGAUUUACAGUGGCUUAUGGAACGAUUGUUAGGUUAGUUUAUAUUGUAUUAUAUAAUUUAUUUAGCAGAUUCCUGUAAAUUAUUAUGAGUGCUUGAAUAAAACAUGGAUUCAGUAUGGAAUUAUUAGUUUUAGAAUCAGGAAGCGAGGUAUGUCUAGCUCUUGGUUGAAGGUGAAAGCCCAUCAACUGGUUUUAGAAUUGCAUUGCAUUGAGAAUUGAAUACCCUUAGUUCAGAAUUAUGGCUGAUUGAACUAAAAAACAAAAGGACACAUUUCAGUAAAAGCUGAGAGCUCAGUAACUGAAACUGAAAGCCUGUAACUAAAAUAUGGGAACACCUUAUGGAACUGAACUAUGACUUCCUAAUGUUUGUCUCUCUUUACCCUUGUGGCGUCUUCUUAUGGAUUUUUACCUCUUAAGACAACUCGAUACAACUCAAUGCUUUUGCUAAUCAAUAAGAAUCAGCAUGUUUUUAAAGCUGACGUCCUACUUCCUGUUGUUGUACUCUAGAAGUGAUCUGGGAUUCUGUGCUUGGAUGACUCUUGGAACUCGUCUUUACGCCCUUCGUUCAAAAUUCCAGUUAAAACAAAAUUAAGAGCAAAGUUCGAAAGAAAGAAGGAGAGAGAAUCUUACCCUUUAACUUGGCUUUCAGAGACUUACAUCGCCCCCUCCCCCGGUAGCUACUAUGCAGGCUUCGGGAGCAAGUGCUUCGGGAAUUGGGGUUCAAAGACAUAUUUAAAAAAGUGAAGGUACAUAGUAGAUGCUGCUGUCUUUUUUCUUCCAUCUUUUUUUGGGACCUAUUCGAAAAAUUAGGAUAAUCAAAUAAUUUCUGCAUAUCGAAUCAACAUCAAGUACUUGAACCUUGUCCAUAUAUAUCUACCGAUCUAUUUUUUUCUGUUUUGUAGGGUGAUGAGAAUGCGAAGGCUAUAUCAUUAUUCAGCAAUGUGGUAAAUCUCAAUGAUGCUAUUGAAGAUCCAGUGAAACGUUUAGAGCAUCUCGUUAGAGGAAUCUUUGCUGAAAAUAUAUAUUUGACCUUGGCUCUGCACAGCUUGCAGAGGUAUUCUCAAAGGAUGGGAUGUCCUUUAUGGCCAGAACCUUGUCCCUCGACCCUCGGUUAUUGAUGACCUUGAGACUUUCAAAUUGCAGUGGAUAUAAGAAGUCCUGGCAAAAGGCUGUGAUUUUUGUUGAUAAUUCUGGUGCAGAUAUCAUUGUAGGAAUUUUACCAUUUGCAAGGGAAUUACUGCGUCGUGGUACACAAGAAUUUUACCAGUUGCAGGGGCGGUGGUAAGCUUGCCUGAAUGACCAAAUCCAAACACUUCUUGCAGGGGUCAUGAUGGAUGCAGUAAAAUCAUGUACCUUUGGCCUUACAAUUCUCUUUUCUUUUUUCCUUCUUUUGUUGCAAGGGUUUACCUUUGGCCUUACAAUUUUUGGAAUCUUCUAACAUUAUAUUGAUAUGCAUGUGAUUUUGUAGUGAAUGAUAUUGAAUGAAUGAAAAGGUAUUCCAAUUUUAAAGUCA